RNAcentral lists this ribosomal RNA (774 nucleotides) under uncultured Neocallimastigales. Its description in RNAcentral is "partial large subunit ribosomal RNA". It matches the Rfam family "Eukaryotic large subunit ribosomal RNA", at positions 23 to 624 of the family's 3401-position model. The record is from RNAcentral. Lineage: Eukaryota; Fungi; Neocallimastigomycota; Neocallimastigomycetes; Neocallimastigales.
AGAGAGAGACAUGCGCGCAUAUCAAUAAGCGGAGGAAAAGAAACUAACAAGGAUUCCCCUAGUAACGGCGAGUGAAGCGGGAAGAGCUCAAAUUUGAAAUCUUAAAGGGUUUCCCUUUACGAAUUGUAGUUUAAAGAAGUGUUUUCUGUUGAGGUUUUGGUAAAAGUUCUUUGGAAUAGGACAUCAUAGAGGGUGAGAAUCCCGUAUUUGACCUUUACUUUCAACUUUGUGAUACACUUUCAAAGAGUCGGAUUGUUUGGGAAUGCAGUCCAAAAUGGGUGGUAAAUUUCAUCUAAAGCUAAAUAUUGGCGAGAGACCGAUAGCGAACAAGUACCGUGAGGGAAAGAUGAAAAGAACUUUGAAAAGAGAGUUAAACAGUACGUGAAAUUGUCAAAAGGGAAGCGUUUGACACCAGUGUUGUUUUUCUGAAAAUCAAUUAAAGAACUGUUUAUGCUAAGUUGUUUAGACUUUAUCAGCUAUCUGUUUAGUUUUGAGCUUUUCUUUAAUGCACUUUUCAGUUAACAAGUCAACAUCAAUUUCUUUUGCUGUAAAAAAGCUUGAGGAAGGUGGCUUGAUGAUUCGUCUUAAGUGUUUAUAGCCUCUUGCCUAUGCAGUCGGAGAGAUUGAGGUCUGCAGCGUAGAUCCUUCGGGGCUAGAUGCAUUUGUGCUAAGUUAUAGCAUUUUAUAGACAACUUGUUGACUAUGAUUUGUCUUGUAGCUUACUCGCUUAUGUUAUUUUACCUACGCUUAGGAUGUUGAAGACUCUACAGAGAU